GACGUCUCCUCCCCCACCUCCGGAGACGAAACAGGGGCCGCAGCCCGUGGGAGUCGCGGGACCCAGAGUCCCCAGAACCUCCAGGGAAGAAGCGCAGGAAGAGGCGGAGUCCCGAGGAGGAGAGAUGAAGGGGGAUUCCGGGAACUGGAAGCCGGGAGGCGGCCUUUGCCCUACUUCCGAGAUGCCAGAGGUCCCCACCCAGGUCAAGCAGAUCAAUUAGACAAGAUGCCUAGUUGAGAGGACCUCACAGAUACGGUCACAUGAUCUGUGACCCGGUGUUCCCUAGAAGGAAGGCAGUCUUCCCACCAACAGCCUGCUGCAGCUUGUAUGACCUAUCCCCUGCGACAUGGCCCUCAUCUUGAUUCUCCUGGAGAGAGAGUCUUGGAACCCGUUAACAAUCAGAGCCCGUGGGGAGACCCCGUUCAUUAAUGUGUAUUUUGCCUGCAAGAACGCUUGUGCAUCAGCUGUGUGAAGUAACAACAGAAAUCAGGGAAGUGCAUCGGAUCCCCUGGAACUGGAGCUAGAGAGGAAUGUGUGCCGCCUCCGUGUGGGUUCUGGGAACCCAAGGGAAGUCCUCUCGGGAGCAGUAAGCGUCCUUAACCACUGGACCAUCCCUCAAGCUCCUAGAUAUGACUUUUUAUUUCACUCGACAGCUUCAAAGGUCAUAUGGCUCGAUAUAGUCAGCUUUAUAAGAAACUACCUCGUUAUCUCUUAAAGCGGCCGUGUUGUACAGAAUUCCCACCAGCAAGGAAUGUAAGUCCCUGUUAUCCUCGCCAGCGCUUGUCAUCAGUGGCAGAUUUUAGACAUUGCUGUGUGGCAGUUUCCUUUUAGAUUGAAACAUUCUUUCAGGGAAGCUCCUUAAGAUGACAUGAACGACCUAAAGCAGCUGACAAGAUUCACUAGGCCCCUCUGUCCGGAGAGUAAACAGCAGAGGGUGCUGAGGAUUGCUCUCCGUGAGCCAAGCUGCAAAGAAACCCUGAGACCAGAGAGUUGCCUGGAAGAAGCAGAAACCAGUCUAACUUCCUGGAAAAGGCUCGGAUCAGCCGAGACACCUGGAAAGGACGCUCCCCAACCUGUUGAGCUGACUGCAGGCUGUGCAGUGUGCUCCAGGUCCCCAGCUCUGGGAACUGUCACACGUGCUGGGGUUAGCCCUGGUAUCGGGUUAGAGUCACUUCUGCUGCUGUGAGUAACCCCUCACGCAUGUUCCUGUAUGCGACCCCUCAUCCAUGUUCCCGUGAGUAACCCCUCACCCAUGUUCCCGAGAGUAACCCCUCACCCAUGUUUUUGUAAGCAACCCCUGUAAAACACCUUGGUCACCUGGGUGGACUUUGGGGGCGUUUACACUUGUUCUGUCAUGGGCUUCCUAUUUUGGGUGAGUAGAUAUUUGUGUCGUGUCUCCCCAGGAAAAGCCUGCCGCACAAAAGCCAUUCUUAAAGAUGUGCCGUUGUUUAAGGUGAUAUUUUGGAGAUGGAAAGUUGUCCGGCAUGACCGUAGUUUAUUGGGAAUGAUCCUAGGAGCAGGGCCACGUUGGUAAGGGCGAUACAGACAAGGCUGGCAUGUCUGAGGUGGGAUGGAGAGUCCAGGAACACAGAGAAGGGCUGCCUCUCCACAGAAGAAGGCACUCGGUUGGCAUCUUUUGUAAUGAAGGGAGCUCAUAUGUAUAUUUGGGGGAAGGUCAGAGAGUCCCCAGUGACAACUUCUGCUUUUUACAGGAAGUGUGUGGCGGUGCUUUCUUGCAGAGGAGAGGGCCUGUGGCAAGAGCCAUGAAAGAGAUUUGUGGAGAAGGAACAUUCUAGCUAUGGAGUGCAUGUGUGUGUCAGAGGCUUCAUGGAGGAAGAGAAUUCGGUGAAGCUGUCUGAGCUGCAGGUCUGGUCCUCCUGUUCCUAGGAUCUCCUACCCAGAACCUUCCUGUUCUUCCAGGACAGUGGAGAGAGCCCCAAAUAUCACGCCCGGAGAGCUGGGGUCAGUCCUGCGUCCAGUGGGAAUGCACCCGGGGUCAGAUUUACAUUUGAUGUCAAGUUCUGGACUCCAGCAUCCUCUUGGCAGGUCCUGGCUGACGCUCCAGAUGGUUGUACCCUUCCGAUGGGUCAUGAACAUCCCUGAAACCUGCACGUGCGAGGCAGGGUCCCUACCAUUCUCUAAGGCCGCAUUCUCACCUGCCAGCCGGCUUCUUCCCACCAAGCCCGUGCCCCUGCAGCCGAGCAGAUCAACAUGCGAGCUUACGGUGUCGCCCUCGUGUUUAGGGACUGCGUCUGCAGGGUGUCUUUCCAGAGUGACAAUGACUCCACCUUUCUACACAGUGAUCUGAGUUCCCUUAAAAUUAUCUACUUACUGUGUUGUGUGUGUGUGUGUGAGAGAGAGAGAGAGAGAGAGAGAGAGAGAGAGAGAGAGAGAGAGAGAGAGAGAGAGAGAGAGAGAGAGAGAGAGAGAGAGAGAGAGAGAGAGAGAGAACCUCUGCCACCCACAUCCUUUGAGACUCAGUGUCUCACUAGGCUAGAAUGGCUGGCCAAGCAACCCCAGGGAUCCUCCUGUCUCUGCUUCCUUAGUGUUGAGUGGGAAUAGAAGAGUAUACCGCCGCACCCACGUGUUUACACGGGCUCUAGGAUUUCACUCAGGUCUUUAGGUUUGCAAGGCCUGUGCUUGACUGAAGAAGCCGUUUCCGCAGAACGGUAUUCUAAACUCGAAAGAGAGGUACCGAGAUGCUCAGAGAUUUCAGUUCCUGAUGGUUUGGGAGACACGGCAGUGUCAGGGCAGCAGGAGUGUCUAGCGGAGAAUCUUUACCUGUCCUGAGCCACGACGAAUCAGAGCUUGAUUGGAGCCCGGGCUGGGCUAAAACCUUUGAAGGCCCAUCCCUAGUGGUCUGGGGACCUGAACUCAGGUCCUAAUGCUUGCCUGGCAAAUGCCUUAUCAACUGUACCAUCUCCCCACUGUCCUCCCCGAAUAUUUUAUAUAUUUUUAAAAUAUGUAUUUAUUAUGUACAGUGUUCUGUCUGCAUGUAUGCCUGCAGGUCAGAAGAGGGCGCCAGAUUUCACUGCAGAUGAUUGUGAGACACCAUGUGGUUGCGGGGAAUUGAACUCAGGACCUCUGUAAGAGCAGCCAGUGCUCUUAACCUCUGAGCCAUCUCUCCAACACCCCCCCCCCAAACAUUUUAAAUAUAAGGCUGGUUGAGUCUGUGGAUUCAGAACCUGCAGAAGUGGAAGGUUUGGCCGGAAUUCCCGCAAAACUGUAAAGCUAUAGCCAUGGCUCUGGACUUAAAGGAGCUGCAGCACUUGCAAAGAAAGAGCCUAGACUUGUGCUCCCGGCAAUUUCUCUGAGUAGGAGGGCAGCACCCAGUGCAGUCUCCAGGACUAUUUUAUUGUGUAGUUCCUCCCUGUCUAUCUCUUGAGCAGUGUGGCCAGGGAAAGUGAGAAUUGCAUUUGUUUGCCAACAAUAGUGUUUGGGUUCAGAGUCCCGAUUAACUGAUUGAUCAGAGAGUGAGAGGUAGGAAGGAGAGAAAGUUGAGAUGAUAAAGCAGGAAGAACAGGAGUUGGUAAGAACCCUGGCUUUGGUGAACUGGGCUUCAAGUGGGUUGUGGUCGACCUGAUGUGGCCAUGGCAUGGGAGGGCGUCUUGGCCAAAGCAAUGAGAUAGGUGACUAGACGUGUGUGCACGCGUGUGUGUGUGUGUGCGCAUGCGUGUAUGUGUGCGUAUGUACAUGCGUGUAUGUGUGUGUACAUGCGUGACUGCGUGUGUGUGCAUGUGUGUGUGUGUGUGUGCGUGUGUGUCUGCUAUCAUUUAGUGUUCACACCCCAGUGAUGGGGUGUGAACUUCAGAACAGAGUGUUCUGUAGGGAAAAUCACAUUCAAUGUUGAUAAAGAGACAUACGAAUUUGGAUAUAUGUAUACACUGUAUAUAUGCAUUGGUGUAUGGCAAUAUAGUCAAGUAUCAAGAAAUAUAUAGUUGAGUGUAAAACAGAAAUAGGUUCUAAGGCUGAAUAGUCGCAAACAGGGAUGUCCCUCCGAAGAUGUAGCCAUGGAUUCGUCACGGAAGACGGUCGUGAGAUUACCCCAUGGCCACCAUCCUUGGCCUCUGCUCAUCACACGUUGAUAGCACUCACCCCAUCGUCAUGAUGCCAGUGCGGCCCUCCUAACGUUCUACAAGGUCCCCCGGGAAUGACUGCUCCCGGGCAGAACCUCUGCCCGGCCAGGACGAUGGCAGGGCAAAGGUUAGACAUGGGUAGGUACAUGAUGUAGAACACGGUGCUAGUUUGGCCAUGCAGCAAGGGUUAUACAGGAAACGAACUCGGCUCCUGGCACCUGGGGUUAGGUGCCUGCUAAUAACAGAUAAGAUAUUAAGUCAGGUGGUGAUGCUAUUUCCUAAAGUGGAGUGCUGCUUAGUUUCGACUGUUGAAUCGCCUGGGAGGAGAAUCUUAAUGGGGAAUUAUCUAGUUCAGGUUGGUCUGUAUGCAUGGGAGCAGGGGUCUAGAUUUGGUGAUUGAUGUCGGAGGAUCCAGUCCACCGUGGGUAGCACCAUCCCCUAGGCUGGGUCCCUGAAGUGGGUGCAUUCUUCUCUCGCUGCUCUUGGCUGUGGAUGUGGCGUGACUAGCUGCUUGAAUUCCUACCUUGACUUCCCUAACAUGAUGGAGCUGUCACCGAAUAAACCUUUUCCACCCUG
Molecule: long non-coding RNA, 4652 nt
Organism: Mesocricetus auratus (golden hamster)
Lineage: Eukaryota; Metazoa; Chordata; Mammalia; Rodentia; Cricetidae
Exons: 4
Source: RefSeq, a predicted model, not a curated record